Molecule: transfer RNA, 71 nt
Filed under: Loxodonta africana (African savanna elephant)
Lineage: Eukaryota; Metazoa; Chordata; Mammalia; Proboscidea; Elephantidae
Rfam family: tRNA
About the family: Transfer RNA (tRNA) molecules are approximately 80 nucleotides in length. Their secondary structure includes four short double-helical elements and three loops (D, anti-codon, and T loops).
Source: Rfam by way of RNAcentral
GCGCUGGUGGUUCAGGGGUUGAACUCUUGCUUUCCACGUGGGAGACCUGGGUUUGAUUCCUUGCCAAUGUC